This 2085-nucleotide long non-coding RNA is filed under the name Homo sapiens (human). Its description in RNAcentral is "HSALNT0357375". Lineage: Eukaryota; Metazoa; Chordata; Mammalia; Primates; Hominidae. The record is from RNAcentral.
GGAAGCUCCUUGCUGAAGCCAGUUUUCUAUCAGAUCAUCCAUCAGGCCUAGCAGGGGGCAGGCAUUGUGCUGACUGUGGAAGAUCACAGAGAGUGUGUCAGAGUGAAAUUGACUUUGGAACUGUCUUUGUCCCUUUUGUACAGACCACACAACUGGUGCCAAUGGCGUCGCUGCCUGACUUUAAACUGUCCUGCCACUAGGAACCCUCACUGUCCAGCUCCAUAGUGCAACCAGAAGGAGGUUGAUUUCUUUAGGUCCCCACCACCCACCAUGAGAUUGGACAAGUCUAGUGGGAAGUGGUCUAGAGGUGAUGGAUCUUCUAGGAUUGCAAUCAGAGCUGGCUUCAUGAGUGUGCACAGGGGUCCCACACAUGAAUGAGUACUUUCCUUCACUGUCUUAAAAUUCUUAAUAGUGUUUGAACAAGGGAUUAGAUAGAUCAAACAAGGCAAGGAGAACUCAAGAAAGUCUGGUCACUUCAGUGAGUGUUGGUGUGUGAGGAGAAUCAAGUGAGAAGUGCUUUUAGAAACAUCCAUGCAGGUAUGAAGGAGCUCUAACAUGCCAGGUGAGUGGACAAGGCUUGGGGAAGGUUGACGAUACCUAGAGACAUGUCAGCCUUUGGGUCAGAGCCUGCCUAAUCUCAUGGGGAACUGAUGGGUGGAAUAGGCACUCUAGGCUCCCCCUGGCAUGGGCAGGGUUGCAGAGAAUUCAGAAAUUUGUGUGUGUUCACGGAGGGGAGGCCAAGCUUCUGACUGUUGAAGUUAGGGUCAGAAUGGAGAGGCAAGCAUGUGUGUGAGGGACUCUGAGAUGGGAGGCUGACAAUUAGGACAAUGGGCUUUGCCCAUGGAGCCAGAAUGUUACCCUGCGAGGGUGAAUGGCACUGGGCCACAUAUCUCAGUGGUCAGAUCCAGGAUCUCAGCAGUCACUCCUAUCAAUCAGAGAUCGGACCAUGGCAGGCACACUCAGCAAAGUCCCCCAUGAUCCAGAAGACAUGUGCGAAUUCUGCAUCAUCUUCCCCUCCAUAAUCCUGAGGACAGUGAGAGCCAAGGAUUGCUUAGCCACACAGGUGUAGCAGUGGGGGAAGCAGAAAGCUAGAUGAAUCCAUGGAUGGAAUUUUUCAGGAGAGUAACAUAGGGCAUGAAGGCCCAUCAAUGAGAGAGACAACAUUUAGAUAGGAGUACUGGACAUUUGAAAAUUCUUACACCCUGUGAUGUGACAUGGAGAAGUGACCAACACAACUUUGCCAACUAUACUCCAUUCUUAGUAACUGCCGAUUAGGAAGGAUUUCUUUCUAAGUCUGUCACUAAUUCAACUGUUAUUCACAAGAGAAGUAGAGGCAAAUGAUAGCAGCUUGAUCGUUGAUUUUUGAUUUAGAUGAUCAAUGAUGUUCAGAAUAGUGUUUGUAUGUGUGAGCAUGGAUGUGUAUGUCGUGUGUGUGUCUGUGUAUGUGGUGUGUGUGUCUGUGUAUAUUGUGUGUGUGUGUGUGCAUGCGUGUGUGCAGGGUAGGUAUCACCACAUUCCCUGUGGUGGUGUGUCUCUUCUCUGGGAUUGGUUCUUCUAGAAUCUCCCACCUUUUAGAACCACUUUAAGAUAUUUAUUUAUUCUCUCCAACCAUCCUGGCAAUCUUUUUAUCCUUAAACAGGAAUAAAUUCCUACAGCUGAAUCUAUUCAGGAUUUCUGUGUGUAUGUGUGAAAAUUUAUAUGAUGCUCAAUCCUUUAAAAAUCUUUUAUUCAAGUAACUUUAAAAGUAAAACACAAGGUGUUUUAUCAUAAAAAGUGAGAGAUGUUAGUCCACUUAAUUUCUUGCUUGCUUUCUUUUGUGUCCCUAGAUUACUUAGCCUCUGUUUCCAGCCAGCAGUGGAAACAGCAAGGGUGAGGGUCUUAGGAGUCGACAUGUAACACCUAUUACUUCCCUUUGAAGUUCAGAACCAAUUUAGAGUUAAGAGCCAAGAGACACACAAAUAGAGAUCUUAUUUCAGCUUUAUUACUGAUAAAACCAUCUGGAGAAUGUGUUUUUAAAUUUGUGUGCAAAUGGCUUGCUCAGACACCCUGAUUGGAUUAGUUGGAUUCAUACCCCCAGCCAUGGAC